RNAcentral lists this long non-coding RNA (901 nucleotides) under Homo sapiens (human). Its description in RNAcentral is "non-protein coding lnc-SLC27A4-3:1". Lineage: Eukaryota; Metazoa; Chordata; Mammalia; Primates; Hominidae. The record is from RNAcentral.
CCAAGUUGGGGAGGUAUUGGCAAAAGGAGGGAAUGUCAUUGAGGUCAGAGAAGAACUGGGAGAAAUGGGCAUUUCCUUUCCUUUAGCAGAUAUUUGUUGAGUGUCUACCAUGUGCCAGGCCCUGUUUUAGGCAGAGCUUGCAGCCCAGCAGGUGGAGAGGAAGUAAAUAAACAAAAUAUAUAUAUACGUGUAUAUGUAUGUGUAUAUACAGAAGAUUAAAAGAUGAAGAUACAUCAGAAAAGGUGAAGGUGGUUUUGAGAAUAUCUAUACCUGUCACUGGUAUCUACAAACACCUGUGUAGCAGACCAUGUGCUGAUCACUGUGGAGACAGACAUGAACAAAAGCCAGUCCCAGGCCAGGUGUGGAGGCUCACACCUGUGAUCCCAGCACUUUGGGGGGCCGAGGCGGACGGAUCACUUAUGGUGGUGGGCACCUGUAAUCCCAGGUUGAGGCAGGAGAAUCGCUUGAACCCUGGAGGUGGAGGUUGUAUAGUGAGCCGAGAUCGUGCCACUGCACUCCAGCCUGGGCGCAGAGCAAGACUCCGUCUCAAAAACAAAAAACAAAACAAAUAAAAGGUAGAAACCAAAAUUUAGAGAAGUCAGGGGUCUCACCCCAAGUCAUAGAGUUAUUUAAAUAGCAGGGUUGGGAUUCAGAACUAGCUUUCAGGCCACUGAAUUUCAGAGUCCUGGCGCUUUGCCACUAACCCAUCACCGUCUAUCCCAAGAGGACAGGUGACCCUGAAGACAGGUGGCUCUGAGCCUCCACAUGACAUACAAGGAGGCUGGUGGCUCCCCCAGAACCACAAGGAGGCAGAUCUCAGUGUUAGCUGAGCUGGAGAGGCCCUGUCACCCGAACCUCUGGCCACCGCUGGCGCGGAGGGCUCUGGAAGCACAGGGUGGUG